This 169-nucleotide small RNA is filed under the name Paenibacillus sp. Its description in RNAcentral is "c-di-AMP sequence". It matches the Rfam family "c-di-AMP riboswitch aptamer (ydaO/yuaA leader)". From Rfam's summary of the family: This family represents a conserved RNA structure found upstream of the ydaO and yuaA genes in Bacillus subtilis and related genes in other bacteria. The ydaO/yuaA element is thought to act as a genetic "off" switch for the ydaO and yuaA genes in its native state. It is believed that the element may be triggered during osmotic shock leading to activation of ydaO, a predicted amino acid transporter gene, and members of the yuaA-yubG operon which code for KtrA and KtrB K+ transporters. Lineage: Bacteria; Bacillati; Bacillota; Bacilli; Caryophanales; Paenibacillaceae. The record is from RNAcentral.
UAAAGCAAAACGCUGAAUUCCCGUAAGGGAAACGGGGGAACCAGAAGAACCGAUAGGAUACAGCAUCGGUUUCUCGGGGUGAAUCUUUAGCAAGCGCAGCUUGCUAGGGUAGGGCACUUCCAAGCCCGAAUCCGACAGCUAACCUCGUAGGCGCAUUGGGAGAGAACGA